UUUUAAAUAUAAAUAUGUUGCAUAUAAUAUUUGGGACAUACUUAACUAAAA
This 51-nucleotide microRNA precursor is filed under the name Marmota monax (woodchuck). The record is from RNAcentral. Lineage: Eukaryota; Metazoa; Chordata; Mammalia; Rodentia; Sciuridae.